CCUACGGGUGGCAGCAGUGAGGAAUAUUGGUCAAUGGGCGCGAGCCUGAACCAGCCAAGUCGCGUGAGGGAAGACGGUCCUAUGGAUUGUAAACCUCUUUUGUCGGGGAGCAAAAGACGCCACGCGUGGCGUUCCGAGAGUACCCGACGAACAAGCAUCGGCUAACUCCGUGCCAGCAGCCGCGGUAAUACGGAGGAUGCGAGCGUUAUCCGGGUUUAUUGGGUUUAAAGGGUUCGCAGGCGGAAGAUCAAGUCAGCGGUAAAAUUUAGAGGCUCAACCUCUUCGAGCCGUUGAAACUGGUGGGCUGGAGUGAGCGAGAAGUAGGCGGAAUGCGUGGUGUAGCGGUGAAAUGCAUAGAUAUCACGCAGAACUCCGAUUGCGAAGGCAGCAUACCGGCGCUCAACUGACGCUCAUGCACGAAAGUGUGGGUAUCGAACAGGAUUAGAUACCCGGGUAGUC
Molecule: ribosomal RNA, 459 nt
Filed under: uncultured bacterium
Lineage: Bacteria
Description: partial 16S ribosomal RNA
Rfam family: Bacterial small subunit ribosomal RNA
Source: RNAcentral